Long non-coding RNA from Lolium rigidum, 2396 nucleotides. RefSeq lists it as uncharacterized. The transcript has 11 exons. The record is from RefSeq and is a predicted model, not a curated record. Lineage: Eukaryota; Viridiplantae; Streptophyta; Magnoliopsida; Poales; Poaceae.
UUAAAGGGAUGCCUUUUUCCUUUUGGUUUUACACGUAAUCAUCAAUCUAUAUUUGUGUACUGUAUUUAGUUUUUGCUGAUAUAGGGCUGAGAUUGCAGGUGUUUGCAGCAUGGUUUUUGUCAUUUUGGCACACAAGAGAAGCCUAGCCCAAGCCUCACAAAUCCCUGGUCACUUGAGAUAAGAUGGUAUGCAACAUACGAACUAUGAGUAUUUUGUUUCUUGAAUCUGGUGGUGUGGUGCGGUACGUUGAUUCAGCCCCACCGUGUCACUUGAAUGGAUUGGAUUCUUUGGUUGUCAUUAGGUUCGGGGCCUGGACCUCAUUGUUCAGCUUCAAUUUUUAAGUCAGUCCAACUUGAUGAAUUGCUCGUGGGAAUGGUUCAGGUUCAUACUUGCCACACAAUCCUCUUGCAUGCUAUAUAUAUAUCUCAGAUAUGAGGUACCCAUGUUCUUCCCCUUUUUGGAACGCAAGUCAUCUAAUGUUUUCCGGUUAGAGAUUGGAGGGGGGCAUGGCUGAUUCAGGGUAUGUGUGUAAUCUAUUAGUACCCAUCCAUCUACUGUGUGCCAAAAGAAUUAAAGGAAGAUUCAAUAUUCAUCCAAGCUAUAAGUGUUCUAUCUUGUUUCCUGGACAAAUGGUUGGAUGUCAGGUAAUAUGAAAAUUGUACCUUGAUUUUUUGUUACAAGUCAUCGAUUGUUAUAAUGUUGUAGGUAGGCAGAGUACCAGGGCCUGAUGCAUGCCGAUAUGUGCAAGAAUUACUGUAGCAAUGAGUUGUUUCUUUGUAGUUCAUUCAUGCCAGUAGUUACUCAUCAAUCGAUGGAUAAAAGUGGUAGGAGAUCACAAGCAGCAGUUCCUCCUAUUCGGGACUUUUAUUCUCCAUUUGGCACAUAAGAGCUCUGCAUGGCUUGUGCGUCUAAAGAAGUUGUAUUGUCCUAUUAGCCAUCCAGUGGGGUGGUGGGGCAGUCGAUGCGGUAGGCCUGGAUGAAGCGCGGGAUAGUGACGACCCUGGCGAGGGAGGAGGAGAGGGAGUUGAACUGGGAUGUGAGCUUGAGGCAUCGCGUACAGGUCGGCCAGGCUCUCCAGGAGCUCCCGCCCCCGCUUGUUGUUUCCACAGCUUCACCUUCAGAUAGCACCAGUGCUGAUGCACUUUCAUAUGUUUGUUUAAGGGCACCCCCCAUAAUGCCGCCACACUGUGGCCAUCAACUCCCUCUACAGCCACACGUUUCACCCACUUUGUCCAAGUAGAGGAAAAGAAGGAGAGGGGAACAAGGCACAAAGUUCUUUUUGUCACCAACAAGAUGUUCAAGGAAAUGCCCAUGAGAUAGUAAAAUAUGACUAGGGUGUGCUACUGUCCUAUUGACUCGGAUUUUACAGGUCGAGUACAACAAUAAUCUCUCAGAAGCUUUGCUCUGAUGUUUUUUUGGCAUUCAUGGUGCGUGGUCAUCCAAAGAUUUUGUCAGUGGUUUGCUGGGAAAUACACUGGAGAAACGAGGCUGAUGCGAGCUGGCAAUGGCAGAGGUUCGAGAGGAGCGUGUCGUCGCAACCUCCAGGAGCAGUGUCAGAUGCUGCUUUGCCAGGAGGAACUCUGUCACCAUCGCCAUACUCGCUGCUACAUGGCUGCGAGUGCAUUCACCCAGUAUUGAGGUUCAUAUCUCUCUGUUGCUCCACCCGGAGGUGCGCCGUCUCGGUCGCCGGACGGUCUUCCCUCUACCCCUUAGUAAGGGGAGAAACGAAGGUCUACACAGCGGCAAGACGGAGGUUAGAUCUUUAUUCAUGGUUUUGUAUGGAUAUUUUACUUAAUUGCAGACUGCAAAUGCACUAUUGCUAUCCAGAAGGAGUUGGGGAGGAAGGAUUCCAUGACAAUCCAUCGGUGUUGGCAUGCAACACUUUUCAUUAGGAAAUUGGAAUGACCCUUUUGGUUCCUCCUUGAUGAUGCAGAACUGAGUGGAUUGUAUAUCAGUGCGAACUUCAUGGGAUCGUGUGCCAAAGUAGUCAUAAAAAUCUGGAGGUUGGGGCUUCACCAUCCAAAAUGACCAGGGUGCAUUACUGGCAGUCGGUGCAGGCAAUCUAGAACAUGUUGCUAACCCGCGACAUGCGGAAGCUCUAGCUUUAUAGGAAGCUAUUAUCGUCAUUUAAAUUGGGCCGCCAAACUGAUUCUGAAGCAAGCCAUUUCAAGCAAGGAAUAUGAUCUCAAUAAAUUAGGUACUUUGUUUAGAAAGAUAAAUUUUCAAAUGAGAGUUGGUCUAAAUGUUUUCUGGACUUUAGUUGCGCAUGGAUGCUUUAUUGGGAGUGGCCUUAUAGAGACUUGGCUGAGCCAAUUCUCUUAAUUUGUUUCAAACGCUGUUGCUGGUGAUAUGCCCAACAUGAUGUAGUAAUGGAAUGGACCAGUGUUUAUAUUUUA